UUACCGAGUUAGGGUCUCACCGGCCCGAUCUCCCAACCCUUUGUCUACUUGACCAUCGUUGCUUCGGCGAGCCCGUCCUCACGGACCGCCGGGGGGUCUUUGUACCCCUUGGCCCGCGCUCGUCGACAGCCCCCAAAUUUAAAAAUCUUAACUAAACGUGUCUUGAAUCUAAGUAUUAUUGUUAAAUAAAAACAAAACUUUCAACAACGGAUCUCUUGGUUCUGGCAUCGAUGAAGAACGCAGCGAAAUGCGAUAAGUAAUGCGAAUUGCAGAAUUCCAGUGAGUCAUCGAAUCUUUGAACGCACAUUGCGCCCUUUGGUAUUCCGAAGGGCAUGCCUGUUCGAGCGUCAUUAUCACCCCUCAAGCCCUCGGCUUGGUGUUGGACGGUUUGGUGGAGACCCCCUUUGCGGGCUUCUACCCCUCCCAAAGACAAUGACGGCGGCCUCGUUGGACCCCCGGUACACUGAGUUCUUCACGGGACACGUAUCGGACACAUGGGUUCACGGGACACGGUCUGCCUCCCCUCAGGGAGAAUCUUUUUUAUCAAGGUUGACCUCGGAUCAGGUAGGGAUACCCGCUGAACUUAAGCAUAUCAAUAAGCGGAGGAAAAGAAACCAACAGGGAUUGCCUCAGUAACGGCGAGUGAAGCGGCAACAGCUCAAAUUUGAAAUCUGGCCUCUUUGGGGUCCGAGUUGUAAUUUGUAGAGGAUGUUUCGGGUACCGCCUCGGGUUUAAAUUUCU
Molecule: ribosomal RNA, 741 nt
Filed under: fungal sp.
Lineage: Eukaryota; Fungi
Description: eukaryotic LSU rRNA
Rfam family: 5.8S ribosomal RNA (bases 196-350)
Source: RNAcentral